AUUGAACGCUGGCGGCAUGCUUUACACAUGCAAGUCGAACGGUAACAGGCCUUUGGGUGCUGACGAGUGGCGAACGGGUGAGUAAUGCAUCGGAACGUACCCAGAGGUGGGGGAUAACGCAGCGAAAGCUGUGCUAAUACUGCAUGUGAUCUGAGGAUGAAAGCGGGGGACCGAGCAGCAAUGUUUGGCCUCGCGCCUUUGGAGCGGCCGAUGUCGGAUUAGCUAGUUGGUGGGGUAAAGGCCUACCAAGGCGACGAUCCGUAGCUGGUCUGAGAGGACGACCGGCCACACUGGGACUGAGACACGGCCCAGACUCCUACGGGAGGCAGCAGUGGGGAAUUUUGGACAAUGGGCGCAAGCCUGAUCCAGCAAUGCCGCGUGCGGGAAGAAGGCCUUCGGGUUGUAAACCGCUUUUGGCAGGAACGAAACGGUGUCCGCUAAUACCGGGCGCUAAUGACGGUACCUGCAGAAUAAGCACCGGCUAACUACGUG
RNAcentral lists this ribosomal RNA (492 nucleotides) under uncultured bacterium. RNAcentral describes it as "partial 16S ribosomal RNA". It matches the Rfam family "Bacterial small subunit ribosomal RNA", at positions 30 to 507 of the family's 1533-position model. The record is from RNAcentral.